UAUCCUGUCUGAAUAUGGGGGGACCAUCCUCCAAGGCUAAAUACUCCUGACUGACCGAUAGUGAACCAGUACCGUGAGGGAAAGGCGAAAAGAACCCCGGCGAGGGGAGUGAAAAAGAACCUGAAACCGUGUACGUACAAGCAGUGGGAGCACGCUUAGGCGUGUGACUGCGUACCUUUUGUAUAAUGGGUCAGCGACUUAUAUUCUGUAGCAAGGUUAACCGAAUAGGGGAGCCGAAGGGAAACCGAGUCUUAACUGGGCGUUAAGUUGCAGGGUAUAGACCCGAAACCCGGUGAUCUAGCCAUGGGCAGGUUGAAGGUUGGGUAACACUAACUGGAGGACCGAACCGACUAAUGUUGAAAAAUUAGCGGAUGACUUGUGGCUGGGGGUGAAAGGCCAAUCAAACCGGGAGAUAGCUGGUUCUCCCCGAAAGCUAUUUAGGUAGCGCCUCGUGAAUUCAUCUCCGGGGGUAGAGCACUGUUUCGGCAAGGGGGUCAUCCCGACUUACCAACCCGAUGCAAACUGCGAAUACCGGAGAAUGUUAUCACGGGAGACACACGGCGGGUGCUAACGUCCGUCGUGAAGAGGGAAACAACCCAGACCGCCAGCUAAGGUCCCAAAGUCAUGGUUAAGUGGGAAACGAUGUGGGAAGGCCCAGACAGCCAGGAUGUUGGCUUAGAAGCAGCCAUCAUUUAAAGAAAGCGUAAUAGCUCACUGGUCGAGUCGGCCUGCGCGGAAGAUGUAACGGGGCUAAACCAUGCACCGAAGCUGCGGCAGCGACGCUUAUGCGUUGUUGGGUAGGGGAGCGUUCUGUAAGCCUGUGAAGGUGUGCUGUGAGGCAUGCUGGAGGUAUCAGAAGUGCGAAUGCUGACAUAAGUAACGAUAAAGCGGGUGAAAAGCCCGCUCGCCGGAAGACCAAGGGUUCCUGUCCAACGUUAAUCGGGGCAGGGUGAGUCGACCCCUAAGGCGAGGCCGAAAGGCGUAGUCGAUGGGAAACAGGUUAAUAUUCCUGUACUUGGUGUUACUGCGAAGGGGGGACGGAGAAGGCUAUGUUGGCCGGGCGACGGUUGUCCCGGUUUAAGCGUGUAGGCUGGUUUUCCAGGCAAAUCCGGAAAAUCAAGGCUGAGGCGUGAUGACGAGGCACUACGGUGCUGAAGCAACAAAUGCCCUGCUUCCAGGAAAAGCCUCUAAGCAUCAGGUAACAUCAAAUCGUACCCCAAACCGACACAGGUGGUCAGGUAGAGAAUACCAAGGCGCUUGAGAGAACUCGGGUGAAGGAACUAGGCAAAAUGGUGCCGUAACUUCGGGAGAAGGCACGCUGAUAUGUAGGUGAAGUCCCUUGCGGAUGGAGCUGAAAUCAGUCGAAGAUACCAGCUGGCUGCAACUGUUUAUUAAAAACACAGCACUGUGCAAACACGAAAGUGGACGUAUACGGUGUGACGCCUGCCCGGUGCCGGAAGGUUAAUUGAUGGGGUCAGCGCAAGCGAAGCUCUUGAUCGAAGCCCCGGUAAACGGCGGCCGUAACUAUAACGGUCCUAAGGUAGCGAAAUUCCUUGUCGGGUAAGUUCCGACCUGCACGAAUGGCGUAAUGAUGGCCAGGCUGUCUCCACCCGAGACUCAGUGAAAUUGAACUCGCUGUGAAGAUGCAGUGUACCCGCGGCAAGACGGAAAGACCCCGUGAACCUUUACUAUAGCUUGACACUGAACAUUGAGCCUUGAUGUGUAGGAUAGGUGGGAGGCUUUGAAGUGUGGACGCCAGUCUGCAUGGAGCCGACCUUGAAAUACCACCCUU
RNAcentral lists this ribosomal RNA (1792 nucleotides) under Escherichia coli. RNAcentral's name for it is "partial 23S ribosomal RNA". It matches the Rfam family "Bacterial large subunit ribosomal RNA", at positions 430 to 2207 of the family's 2925-position model. The record is from RNAcentral. Lineage: Bacteria; Pseudomonadati; Pseudomonadota; Gammaproteobacteria; Enterobacterales; Enterobacteriaceae.